Molecule: ribosomal RNA, 468 nt
Filed under: uncultured bacterium
Lineage: Bacteria
Description: partial 16S ribosomal RNA
Rfam family: Bacterial small subunit ribosomal RNA
Source: RNAcentral
GACGAACGCUGGCGGCGUGCUUAACACAUGCAAGUCGAACGGAGAGGCCCUGCUUUUGUGGGGUGCUCGAGUGGCGAACAGGUGAGUAACACGUGAGUAUCCUGCCCUUGUCUUUGGGAUAACUUCAGGAAACUGGGGCUCAUACCGGAUAGGAGCUCCUGCUGCGUGGUGUGGGUUGGAAAGUGUCGGCGGUUGGGGCUGGUCUGGCGGGUUAUGAGCUUGUUGGUGGGGUAGUGGAUUACGAAGGCUUUGACGGGUAGCCUGCCUGAGAGGGGGAACGGCGACAUGGGGACUGAGAGACGGACCAGUAGCCUACGGGAGGCAGUAGGGGGGAAUCUUGCGCAGUGAGCGGAAGUCUGAUGUAGCAGUCCCGCGUGCGUGAUGAUGGCCUUUGGGGGAUAAACAGAUUUGGCAGGUGAUAAAGCGUUCGUGACGGUAAUGGGUCAAGAAGCACCGGCUAACUACGUG